Molecule: ribosomal RNA, 491 nt
Filed under: uncultured bacterium
Lineage: Bacteria
Description: partial 16S ribosomal RNA
Rfam family: Bacterial small subunit ribosomal RNA
Source: RNAcentral
GUGAACGCUGGCAGUAGGCCUAACACCUGCCAGUCGAACGGCAGCACAGUAAGAGCUUGCUCUUACGGGUGGCGAGUGGCGGACGGGUGAGGAAUACAUCGGAAUCUACUUUUUCGUGGGGGAUAACGUAGGGAAACUUACGCUAAUACCGCAUACGACCUACGGGUGAAAGCAGGGGAUCUUCGGACCUUGCGCGAUUGAAUGAGCCGAUGUCGGAUUAGCUAGUUGGCGGGGUAAAGGCCCACCAAGGCGACGAUCCGUAGCUGGUCUGAGAGGAUGAUCAGCCACACUGGAACUGAGACACGGUCCAGACUCCUACGGGAGGCAGCAGUGGGGAAUAUUGGACAAUGGGCGCAAGCCUGAUCCAGCCAUACCGCGUGGGUGAAGAAGGCCUUCGGGUUGUAAAGCCCUUUUGUUGGGAAAGAAAAGCAGCAGGUUAAUACCCCGCUGUUCUGACGGUACCCAAAGAAUAAGCACCGGCUAACUUCGUG